Molecule: ribosomal RNA, 1442 nt
Filed under: Nostoc carneum SERB 44
Lineage: Bacteria; Bacillati; Cyanobacteriota; Cyanophyceae; Nostocales; Nostocaceae
Description: bacterial SSU rRNA
Rfam family: Bacterial small subunit ribosomal RNA
Source: RNAcentral
AGGAUGAACGCUGGCGGUAUGCUUAACACAUGCAAGUCGAACGGUCUCUUCGGAGAUAGUGGCGGACGGGUGAGUAACGCGUGAGAAUCUAGCUUCAGGUCGGGGACAACCCCUGGAAACGGUGGCUAAUACCGGAUGUGCCGAAAGGUGAAAGGCUUGCUGCCUGAAGAUGAGCUCGCGUCUGAUUAGCUAGUAGGUGUGGUAAGAGCGCACCUAGGCGACGAUCAGUAGCUGGUCUGAGAGGAUGAUCAGCCCCACUGGGACUGAGACACGGCCCCGACUCCUACGGGAGGCAGCAGUGGGGAAUUUUCCGCAAUGGGCGAAAGCCUGACGGAGCAAUACCGCGUGAGGGAGGAAGGCUCUUGGGUUGUAAACCUCUUUUCUCAGGGAAGAAAAAAAUGACGGUACCUGAGGAAUAAGCAUCGGCUAACUCCGUGCCCGCAGCCGCGGUAAUACGGAGGAUGCAAGCGUUAUCCGGAAUGAUUGGGCGUAAAGCGUCCGCAGGUGGCAAUGUAAGUCUGCUGUUAAAGAGUGAGGCUCAACCUCAUAAGAGCAGUGGAAACUACAUAGCUAGAGUGCGUUCGGGGCAGAGGGAAUUCCUGGUGUAGCGGUGAAAUGCGUAGAGAUCAGGAAGAACACCGGUGGCGAAAGCGCUCUGCUAGGCCGCAACUGACACUGAGGGACGAAAGCUAGGGGAGCGAAUGGGAUUAGAUACCCCCGUAGUCCUAGCCGUAAACGAUGGAUACUAGGCGUGGCUUGUAUCGACCCGAGCCGUGCCGGAGCUAACGCGUUAAGUAUCCCGCCUGGGGAGUACGCACGCAAGUGUGAAACUCAAAGGAAUUGACGGGGGCCCGCACAAGCGGUGGAGUAUGUGGUUUAAUUCGAUGCAACGCGAAGAACCUUACCCAGACUUGACAUGUCGCGAACUUUUCUGAAAGGAAGAGGUGCCUUCGGGAGCGCGAACACAGGUGGUGCAUGGCUGUCGUCAGCUCGUGUCGUGAGAUGUUGGGUUAAGUCCCGCAACGCGCAACCCUCGUUUUUAGUUGCCAGCAUUAAGUUGGGCACUCUAGAGAGACUGCCGGUGACAAACCGGAGGAAGGUGGGGAUGACGUCAAGUCAGCAUGCCCCUUACGUCUUGGGCUACACACGUACUACAAUGCUACGGACAAAGGGCAGCGAGCUAGUGAUAGCAAGCAAAUCUCAUAAACCGUGGCUCAGUUCAGAUCGCAGGCUGCAACUCGCCUGCGUGAAGGAGGAAUCGCUAGUAAUUGCAGGUCAGCAUACUGCAGUGAAUUCGUUCCCGGGCCUUGUACACACCGCCCGUCACACCCUGGAAGCUGGCAACGCCCGAAGUCAUUACUCCCACCCUUCGUGGGGGAGGAUGCCGAAGGCAGUGCUGGUGACUGGGGUGAAGUCGUAACAAGGUACCCGUACCGGAAGGU